AGAGGCAUGCCUCUGUGGUAGAGUGCCAGCCUAGGAAGUUUAAGGCCCUGAGUUCAAACCCCAGUACCACUG
This 72-nucleotide transfer RNA is filed under the name Dipodomys ordii (Ord's kangaroo rat). It matches the Rfam family "tRNA". Rfam says of the family: Transfer RNA (tRNA) molecules are approximately 80 nucleotides in length. Their secondary structure includes four short double-helical elements and three loops (D, anti-codon, and T loops). The record is from Rfam by way of RNAcentral. Lineage: Eukaryota; Metazoa; Chordata; Mammalia; Rodentia; Heteromyidae.